Bos taurus (domestic cattle) is the source of this 695-nucleotide long non-coding RNA. The record is from Ensembl. Lineage: Eukaryota; Metazoa; Chordata; Mammalia; Artiodactyla; Bovidae.
GUUGAGUUUGGGGCUCAUUUGUUUGGCAGCAGUGGUGCCUGGGGUAGAAAUGUAGGAUUUGGAAUCAGGGUGCUACCCAUGACCAAAACCUAACACAGCCAGCAUGGGUCUCAGGACCAACACAGAGCAGAAGCUGGAAAGGCCAGUGAGGAGACUAUUAGUGUAAUACUAUUAGUGUAUACAAAGUCCCUUGAGAAGUUAUUAUUGUAGGCGGGAGACCGGUAGGAUAUUAUUAGUGGACUGAAAAAAGCAGCAGUAUUCCCAAUAGCCAAGACGUGGAGACGACCUGGAUGUCCAUCGACAGGCGGCACCGCAUCGUACGCAGUAUCUUAAUUCCCUGACCAGGGAUUGAACCCACACCCUCCGCAGUGAAAGCUCAGAGUCUUAACCACAGGACCACCAGGGAAGUCCUUGUUCCUCAUUUUAGAGGAAAGAAACUCAGCUUUUCACCAUUGAGUAUCAUGUUAGCUAUGGAUUUGUCACAAAUGGCCUUUAUUAUAUUGAAAUAUAUUCCCUCUAUACCAAUUUUGAUGAGAGUUUUUAUUAUGAAUGGAUGUUGAGUUUUGUCAAAUGCCUUUUCUGCAUCUACUAAGGUGACCAGUGAUUCUUAUCCUUCUUUUUGUUAAUGUGGUGCAUCAUAUUGACUGAUUUGUGUAUAUGGAACCAUCCUGUGAUGCUGAAAUAAAUUCAACUCG